AUUAAAACUUUCAACAACGGAUCUCUUGGCUCUGGCAUCGAUGAAGAACGCAGCGAAAUGCGAUAAGUAAUGUGAAUUGCAGAAUUCAGUGAAUCAUCGAAUCUUUGAACGCACAUUGCGCCCGCCAGUAUUCUGGCGGGCAUGCCUGUUCGAGCG
Molecule: ribosomal RNA, 156 nt
Filed under: Fusarium solani
Lineage: Eukaryota; Fungi; Ascomycota; Sordariomycetes; Hypocreales; Nectriaceae
Description: 5.8S ribosomal RNA
Rfam family: 5.8S ribosomal RNA
About the family: 5.8S ribosomal RNA (5.8S rRNA) is a component of the large subunit of the eukaryotic ribosome. It is transcribed by RNA polymerase I as part of the 45S precursor that also contains 18S and 28S rRNA.
Source: RNAcentral